AUGCCCAACGGGGCUGUGGAUACUUACCUGCCUUUUAAUUCUU
Small RNA from Neotoma lepida (desert woodrat), 43 nucleotides. It matches the Rfam family "XIST RNA A repeat". The record is from Rfam. NCBI's taxonomy places the organism in Eukaryota, Metazoa, Chordata, Mammalia, Rodentia, Cricetidae.